UACGAAGGGGGCUAGCGUUGCUCGGAAUCACUGGGCGUAAAGCGCACGUAGGCGGAUUGCUAAGUCGGGGGUGAAAUCCUGGAGCUUAACUCCAGAACUGCCUUCGAUACUGGGAAUCUUGAGUCCGGAAGAGGUGAGUGGAACUGCGAGUGUAGAGGUGAAAUUCGUAGAUAUUCGCAAGAACACCAGUGGCGAAGGCGGCUCACUGGCCCGGUACUGACGCUGAGGUGCGAAAGCGUGGGGAGCAAACAGG
RNAcentral lists this ribosomal RNA (253 nucleotides) under uncultured bacterium. RNAcentral's name for it is "partial 16S ribosomal RNA". It matches the Rfam family "Bacterial small subunit ribosomal RNA", at positions 524 to 776 of the family's 1533-position model. The record is from RNAcentral.